UCUGGUGACCGUACCGCAAACCGACUCAGGUGGGCAGGUGGAGAACACCGAGGCGCUAGGGAGAACACUGGUUAAGGAACUAGGCAAAUUAAUACCGUAACUUCGGGAUAAGGUAUGCCAGUUAGGUGAAGGGCCUGCGCCUGGAGCCCAAACUGGUCACAGCAAAGCGGCGGUAGCGACUGUUUACCAAAAACACAGGUCACUGCAAAGUCGUAAGACGAUGUAUAGGGGCUGACGCCUGCCCGGUGCCGGAAGGUUAAGAGGAGCUGUCAGCGCAAGCAAAGCAGCGAAUUGAAGCCCCGGUAAACGGCGGCCGUAACUAUAACGGUCCUAAGGUAGCGAAAUUCCUUGUCGAGUAAGUUCCGACCUGCACGAAAGGCGUAACGACUUCCGCGCUGUCUCAACCAGUGGCCCUGCGAAAUUGACGUUGGGGUGAAGAUGCCCCAUACCCGCAGAAAGACGGAAAGACCCUGUGAACCUUUACUCUAGCUUGGCAGUGACAUUCGACAUUAUCUGUGUAGCAUAGGUGGGAGGCGUUGAGUUCGGCGCGCUAGUGUCGAAGGAGCCACCGUUGAAAUACCACCCUGAUGAUGUUGGCCGUCUAACUUCGAAAGAAGGACACUGCCUGGUGGGGAGUUUGACUGGGGCGGUCGCCUCCCAAACAGUAACGGAGGCGCGCGAUGGUUCUCUCAGCCUGAUCGGAAACCAGGCGUAGAGUGCAAAGGCAUAAGAGAGCUUGACUGCGAGACGGACACGUCGAGCAGGUUCGAAAGAAGGCCUUAGUGAUCCGGCGGUCCCAUGUGGAAGGGCCGUCGCUCAACGGAUAAAAGGUACUCCGGGGAUAACAGGCUUAUCACGCCCAAGAGUUCACAUCGACGGCGUGGUUUGGCACCUCGAUGUCGGCUCGUCGCAUCCUGGGGCUGGAGCAGGUCCCAAGGGUUUGGCUGUUCGCCAAUUAAAGCGGCACGCGAGCUGGGUUCAAAACGUCGUGAGACAGUUUGGUCCCUAUCUUCUGUGGGCGUUGGAGAGUUGAGAGGAUCUGUCCUUAGUACGAGAGGACCGGGAUGGACACACCUCUGGUGUUCCGGUUGUCGCGCCAGCGGCACUGCCGGGUAGCUAAGUGUGGACGGGAUAACCGCUGAAAGCAUCUAAGUGGGAAACCCCCCUCAAGAUAGCUCUCCCCAAAGGACCCAGGUAGACUACCUGGUCGAUAGGCAGGACGUGUACUCGCAGCAAUGCGUUCAGCGAACCUGUACUAAUUGUCCGUUCGGCUUGUUCUA
Molecule: ribosomal RNA, 1280 nt
Filed under: metagenome
Description: bacterial LSU rRNA
Rfam family: Bacterial large subunit ribosomal RNA
Source: RNAcentral